This 408-nucleotide RNase P RNA is filed under the name Allokutzneria albata. Its description in RNAcentral is "Kibdelosporangium albatum Bacterial RNase P class A". It matches the Rfam family "Bacterial RNase P class A". From Rfam's summary of the family: Ribonuclease P (RNase P) is a ubiquitous endoribonuclease, found in archaea, bacteria and eukarya as well as chloroplasts and mitochondria. The record is from Rfam by way of RNAcentral. Lineage: Bacteria; Bacillati; Actinomycetota; Actinomycetes; Pseudonocardiales; Pseudonocardiaceae.
UGAGCCGGCCGGGCGGCCGCGUCGGCGGGGAGACCCGCCGCCGAGGAAAGUCCGGACUCCGCAGGGCAGGGUGGUUGUUAACGGCAACCUGGGGCGACCCACGGGACAGUGCCACAGAGAACAGACCGCCCGGACGCGCGAGCGGACCGGGUAAGGGUGAAACGGUGGUGUAAGAGACCACCAGCAUCCCGGGUGACCGGGAUGGCUCGGUAAACCCCACCUGGAGCAAGGCCAAGAAGGUCCCGCCCUUCCGGGCGGGGCCUGCGCGAGUGCUUGAGGGCUGCCCGCCCGAGCUCGCGGGUAGGCCGCACGAGCCCGUCGGCGACGGCGGGCCCAGAUGGAUGGCCGCCGAAGGGAACGCCGCGAGGCGUCCCGGAACAGGAUCCGGCUUACAGGCCGGCUCAUCCC